UACAGAGGGUGCGAGCGUUGUUCGGAAUUAUUGGGCGUAAAGGGCGCGUAGGCGGUGCGGUAAGUCACCUGUGAAAUCUCCUGGCUCAACUGGGAGCUUGCAGGCGAAACUGCCGUGCUGGAGUGUGGGAGAGGUGAGUGGAAUUCCCGGUGUAGCGGUGGAAUGCGUAGAGAUCGGGAAGAACAUCAGUGGCGAAGGCGGCCUGCUGGGCUGUUGCUGACGCUGAGGCGCGACAGCGUGGGGAGCAAACAGG
Molecule: ribosomal RNA, 253 nt
Filed under: uncultured bacterium
Lineage: Bacteria
Description: partial 16S ribosomal RNA
Rfam family: Bacterial small subunit ribosomal RNA
Source: RNAcentral